This 492-nucleotide ribosomal RNA is filed under the name uncultured bacterium. Its description in RNAcentral is "partial 16S ribosomal RNA". It matches the Rfam family "Bacterial small subunit ribosomal RNA", at positions 29 to 507 of the family's 1533-position model. The record is from RNAcentral.
AGUGAACGCUGGCGGCAUGCCUUACACAUGCAAGUCGAACGGCAGCACAGUAAUAGCUUUCUCUUACGGUUGGCGAGUGGCGGAUGGGUGAGGAAUACAUCGCAAUCUACUUUUUCUUGGGGGAUAACGUAGGGAAACUUACGCUAAUACAGCAUACGACCUACGGGUGAAACCAGGGGAUCUUCGGACUUUGCGCGAUUGAAUGAGCCGAUGUCGGAUUAGCUAGUUGGCGGGGUAAAGGCCCACCAAGGCGACGAUCCGUAGCUGGUCUGAGAGGAUGAUCAGCCACACUGGAACUGAGACACGGUCCAGACUCCUACGGGAGGCAGCAGUGGGGAAUAUUGGACAAUGGGCGCAAGCCUGAUCCAGCCAUACCGCGUGAGUGAAGAAGGCCUUCGGGUUGUAAAGCCCUUUUGUUGGGGAAGAAAAGCAGCAGGUUAAUACCCCGCUGUUAUGACGGUACCCAAAGAAUAAGCACCGGCUAACUACGUG